Molecule: ribosomal RNA, 459 nt
Filed under: uncultured bacterium
Lineage: Bacteria
Description: partial 16S ribosomal RNA
Rfam family: Bacterial small subunit ribosomal RNA
Source: RNAcentral
CCUACGGGAGGCAGCAGUGAGGAAUAUUGGUCAAUGGGCUUACGCCUGAACCAGCCAAGUCGCGUGAGGGAAGACUGCCCUAUGGGUUGUAAACCUCUUUUGUCAGGGAACAAAGGCGGGGACGUGUCCCCGGAUGAGUGUACCUGAAGAAAAAGCAUCGGCUAACUCCGUGCCAGCAGCCGCGGUAAUACGGGGGAUGCGAGCGGUAUCCGGAUUUAUUGGGUUUAAAGGGUGCGAAGGCGGUCUGUUAAGUCCGCGGUCAAAGCCCGGGGCUCAAACCCGGCCCGCCGUUGAAACUGGCAGUCUCGAGUUGGAGAGAAGUAUGCGGAAUGCGCGGUGUAGCGGUGAAAUGCAUAGAUAUCGCGCAGAACUCCGAUGGCGAAGGCAGCAAGCCGGCUCCACACUGACGCUGAGGCACGAAAGCGUGGGUAUCGAACAGGAUUAGAUACCCUUGUAGUC